Molecule: ribosomal RNA, 468 nt
Filed under: uncultured bacterium
Lineage: Bacteria
Description: partial 16S ribosomal RNA
Rfam family: Bacterial small subunit ribosomal RNA
Source: RNAcentral
GAUGAACGCUGGCGGCGUGCUUAACACAUGCAAGUCGAACGGUGAACCCGGAGCUUGCUCUGUGGGAUCAGUGGCGAACGGGUGAGUAACACGUGAGCAACCUGCCCCUGACUCUGGGAUAAGCGCUGGAAACGGCGUCUAAUACUGGAUAUGUGACGUGACCGCAUGGUCUGCGUUUGGAAAGAUUUUUCGGUUGGGGAUGGGCUCGCGGCCUAUCAGCUUGUUGGUGAGGUAAUGGCUCACCAAGGCGUCGACGGGUAGCCGGCCUGAGAGGGUGACCGGCCACACUGGGACUGAGACACGGCCCAGACUCCUACGGGAGGCAGCAGUGGGGAAUAUUGCACAAUGGGCGCAAGCCUGAUGCAGCAACGCCGCGUGAGGGAUGACGGCCUUCGGGUUGUAAACCUCUUUUAGCAGGGAAGAAGCGAAAGUGACGGUACCUGCAGAAAAAGCGCCGGCUAACUACGU